AUUGAACGCUGGCGGCAUGCCUUACACAUGCAAGUCGAACGGCAGCACGGGGCAACCUGGUGGCGAGUGGCGAACGGGUGAGUAAUAUAUCGGAACGUGCCCUGGAGUGGGGGAUAACGCAGCGAAAGUUGCGCUAAUACCGCAUACGAUCUAAGGAUGAAAGUGGGGGAUUCGCAAGAACCUCAUGCUCCUGGAGCGGCCGAUAUCUGAUUAGCUAGUUGGUGGGGUAAAGGCCUACCAAGGCAUCGAUCAGUAGCUGGUCUGAGAGGACGACCAGCCACACUGGAACUGAGACACGGUCCAGACUCCUACGGGAGGCAGCAGUGGGAAUUUUGGACAAUGGGCGCAAGCCUGAUCCAGCAAUGCCGCGUGAGUGAAGAAGGCCUCGGUUGUAAG
This 396-nucleotide ribosomal RNA is filed under the name uncultured bacterium. RNAcentral's name for it is "bacterial SSU rRNA". It matches the Rfam family "Bacterial small subunit ribosomal RNA", at positions 30 to 429 of the family's 1533-position model. The record is from RNAcentral.